GAUGAACGCUAGCGGCAGGCCUAAUACAUGCAAGUCGAACGAGAUUAAGAGGCUUGCUUCUUAUGAAAGUGGCGCACGGGUGCGUAACGCGUAUGCAACCUACCUUAAUCAGGGGGAUAGCCCGAAGAAAUUCGGAUUAAGACCGCAUAAAAACACAGGAUAGCAUUAUCCGAUGUUCAAAUAUUUAUAGGAUUAAGAUGGGCAUGCGUGUCAUUAGCUAGUUGGCGGGGUAACGGCCCACCAAGGCGACGAUGACUAGGGGAUCUGAGAGGAUGACCCCCCACACUGGUACUGAGACACGGACCAGACUCCUACGGGAGGCAGCAGUAAGGAAUAUUGGUCAAUGGAGGGAACUCUGAACCAGCCAUGCCGCGUGCAGGAAGACAGCCCUCUGGGUCGUAAACUGCUUUUAUUCGGGAAUAAACCUUUCUACGUGUAGGAAGCUGAAUGUACCGAAGGAAUAAGGAUCGGCUAACUCCGUG
This 482-nucleotide ribosomal RNA is filed under the name uncultured bacterium. RNAcentral describes it as "partial 16S ribosomal RNA". It matches the Rfam family "Bacterial small subunit ribosomal RNA", at positions 28 to 507 of the family's 1533-position model. The record is from RNAcentral.